Non-coding RNA from Podarcis lilfordi (Lilford's wall lizard), 282 nucleotides. The record is from the annotation of a GenBank genome assembly. NCBI's taxonomy places the organism in Eukaryota, Metazoa, Chordata, Lepidosauria, Squamata, Lacertidae.
AUAAUAAUAAUAAUAAUAAUAAUAAUAAUAAUAAUAACAAAAUGGGCGGGAACUGCUCCAGCCCUUCCGCUCCCUCAGGCGGUAGAGACGGAUCUUAAUAACCAAAUAUAAUAAUAAUAAAAUGGGCGGGAACUGCUCCGGCCCUUCCGCUCCCUCAGGCGGUAGAGACGGCUCUUAAUAACCAAAGAUAAUAAUAAAUAAUAAUAAUAAUAAUAAUAACAAAAUGGGCGGGAACUGCUCCGGCCCUCCCGCUCCCUCAGGCGCUCGCCUCCCCGUCUCCUU